This 253-nucleotide ribosomal RNA is filed under the name uncultured bacterium. RNAcentral describes it as "partial 16S ribosomal RNA". It matches the Rfam family "Bacterial small subunit ribosomal RNA", at positions 524 to 776 of the family's 1533-position model. The record is from RNAcentral.
UACGAAGGGGGCUAGCGUUGUUCGGAAUUACUGGGCGUAAAGGGCGCGUAGGCGGUACUUCAAGUCAGGCGUGAAAGCCCCGGGCUCAACCUGGGAACCGCGCUUGAGACUGGAGAACUAGAGUUCGGGAGAGGAUGGUGGAAUUCCCAGUGUAGAGGUGAAAUUCGUAGAUAUUGGGAAGAACACCGGUGGCGAAGGCGGCCUUCUGGACAGUAACUGACGCUGAGACGCGAAAGCGUGGGGAGCAAACAGG